Molecule: long non-coding RNA, 657 nt
Filed under: Cavia porcellus (domestic guinea pig)
Lineage: Eukaryota; Metazoa; Chordata; Mammalia; Rodentia; Caviidae
Description: lncRNA (ENSCPOG00000030156.1)
Source: RNAcentral
UCAGCUUGUAAGUGUCCUGCCUGGGUCUGACGUGGCAUCCCCUGCACUAACCUUGCUUCCUUUACUGCAGCCUCCUAGGACCUGCACACCUCAGGCCUUGCCGUCAGCCAUGCUGUGGGGCUCUGCGCCCAAGCUCUGUCCACUUCACUGUGCCUGGAGGAGUCAGCAAAUAGUGCCCACCUUGGUCCUGUGGCCUGUGAUGCAGGCAGAAGAGCGUGUGUCCCCUGGGAGCCGCUGUGGCUGCUGUCUCGGGGACAGGAGGAAUGUGAGCAGAGCCUGAAGGAGUGGAGCUCACAGACACGAAUGAAGCACCCUCCCACCUGCAGGCCUGUGCUGGCAGAUAUCCCUUUGGAGACCAGUUUCACCAGAGCUUUGGAACUCAGGAAAAGCAGACUGCACUGUUCAGUGUCCGGGUCCUCCCUGCCCAGCUGCUGGCAGCAAAGAUUGCUGUAGACUUUCAAGGUCCAGAUACCAAGUGUGAAGGAGCAGAGCAGCCACAGGAUGGCAGCACCCUAAAGAAUAAAGGAUCACUCACUGGCGGUCCUCCUGGGAUUUGGAGAAAUCCCUGGGAACCCAGGAAAAAACUCAAAUGGAAUCACUGUGCCUCCUCCUGGAGUCCAGAAGGUGAGAGAGGUGAGUGGCAGGAUCCAGAUCUCA